GAUUAAGCAUUGAACAAAAUCAUGACAUAAACUGGUGGUUGAUUACAAAUUAUAACAUCUUAGAGAUUCAGAUGUAGUUCAUUGGAGGCUCUGGACUCCAUAGCACAGAAAAAAUUACAACAUCUAAUCUUGCAUUUAAUAUGUACUAUCCUGGCCAUUUACUUUUCAAAGUAUUGUUUUAUAGAAUCUUUGAGAGGAUGGAUGUAUAGAACUGUUCCAUAGAAUAAGUCUGUUGUCUUGGAGUAGAGGCAUGAAUCAUAGGCUAUGUAGGAAAAGAUAUUCACUAUGCUCUAUAGGCAGUCACAAGUGAUCUGAUCCUGAGAUCCCAAGCCAUAUGCUAAAGAUUUGCAGGGGAAUGAUAGCCAACUUCGCCCAUAUUGCUGUCACAUGGUUUGACCAGCACAGAACAGAACAGUGUAUUUCAGGAACAGUUAUUAACAUAUAUGAGACUUCAGUGCUGGUAAGCUGUCAGAGGCCAGCUGCUUAUUCACAGCCUGUCCUCACCGCCGAGAUUAGAAACCAUGUUUGUUCCCUUUGUGUUGCUGCACGACUCCCAUCAUGUUCCUCAUUGCAUGUUUGCACCCUGAGUCAAAGCCCACUCACAGCUAAUCAGUGCAAGAAGCUGUGGCCAGCAUUUUGUUAAAGAAAAAAAAAAAAA
This 658-nucleotide long non-coding RNA is filed under the name Rattus norvegicus (Norway rat). RNAcentral describes it as "long non-coding RNA NONRATT025978". The record is from RNAcentral. Lineage: Eukaryota; Metazoa; Chordata; Mammalia; Rodentia; Muridae.